UACCUGCUUUAGACGAUGUGGUCCUAAUUC
This 30-nucleotide non-coding RNA is filed under the name Mus musculus (house mouse). Lineage: Eukaryota; Metazoa; Chordata; Mammalia; Rodentia; Muridae. The record is from RNAcentral.